UUGUUAGGCACAGAGCAGCGUGCUGUGAACUACUCCGGGGUCUUGGCAAGAGCACAGCAAGCAGUGGACAAGUUCUAUAAAAUUGAUUUUCCAAUAGUGUUGGCAUUUUCGAGAGGAAAGGGAAAAGAGACAGCAGCAGUGUGAAGCCAUCGGAUCACGUGCGUUCCUACUUAUGAAAAGGACUUGUGCUUAUCUCAGGUUAGCAACAGGAUAUGCAGUUUUAGGGCUGAUAUCAAAGGCAUUUUGGUUUAUUUAUUUAUUUAGCCACUUGCAAUAGAUGCUGUGUUGUCAGCUCCAGGAGCUGAAGUCCCUUAUUUAUGUGCCUGGAUUUCCCUGUGUCAUUCUGCCAGCGUGGCUCAACCCUGAUCUGGUUUCCACACUCAUUCAGCACUUGCUGAAAUAGUCACCUAGGGAGUAAACACUGCCAGCCAUGGCCGUGCUUUCUGAGAUAUGGAGCCCAGCCCAGUCAGAAGUUUGCCAAGAUAACCUCAUUGCAUCAUGUGCCAAAGAGCCUCAAACAGCUGGAGCAUUGAAGGACUGUGACAUUUAAACAAGAUACUGAAAAUGCAAGGUAAUCAUCGUCAUGUUAGAAUGCAUGCAAAUGUGGAAUUUAGAAAUUAAAGACUUCCUACCAUAUUUUUAUAUAUUCACCAGGCAACAUCUAGGUUCAAGGAACAGAUUAAAUACCUGGGACACUGACUUUUUUCAGUGGUGGCUUCUGGUGAGAAGCAAGGACAGUGUGGAGCCUGAAGGCAAGGAACUUAGAAGUUGCAAUCAAGUAUCUGUACUGACAGCUCCAUCAUUUGCCUGAUGGAAACUGGAAAACAAACAACCCCCUCUUCCAUCCUGCCACCAGAAGUGAGACUAAUUUAAAGUGUAAGGCAAGACUGUAAAAGUUUACUUUCAAUCCCUGUUCUUGUGGCCUUAAUAACACGCCUUUCACACGAUUUUUUGACAGCAAAAAAUAAUUGGCAAUAUAAAAGUUUUAAAGCAAUCCAUGGUGCAGUAUCUUCAUUGUCUCGGAGGAAGCACAAGACACAUAAUAAAGAGUAAAAGUUUACUCA
This 1064-nucleotide long non-coding RNA is filed under the name Cyanistes caeruleus (blue tit). RNAcentral describes it as "lncRNA (ENSCCEG00000008852.1)". The record is from RNAcentral. Lineage: Eukaryota; Metazoa; Chordata; Aves; Passeriformes; Paridae.